RNAcentral lists this ribosomal RNA (460 nucleotides) under uncultured bacterium. Its description in RNAcentral is "partial 16S ribosomal RNA". It matches the Rfam family "Bacterial small subunit ribosomal RNA", at positions 338 to 795 of the family's 1533-position model. The record is from RNAcentral.
CCUACGGGUGGCAGCAGUGAGGAAUAUUGGUCAAUGGACGAGAGUCUGAACCAGCCAAGUAGCGUGAAGGAUGACUGCCCUAUGGGUUGUAAACUUCUUUUAUAUGGGAAUAAAAUGUUCCACGUGUGGGAUUUUGUAUGUACCCUAUGAAUAAGCAUCGGCUAACUCCGUGCCAGCAGCCGCGGUAAUACGGAGGAUCCGAGCGUUAUCCGGAUUUAUUGGGUUUAAAGGGGGCGUAGGUGGGUUGUUAAGUCAGUUGUGAAAUUUUGCGGCUCAACCCUGAAAUUGCAGUUGAAACUGGCAGUCUUGAGUGCAGGAGAGGUAGGCGGAAUUCGUGGUGUAGCGGUGAAAUGCUUAGAUAUCACGAAGAACUCCGAUUGCGAAGGCAGCACACUGGACUGCAACUGACACUGAGGCUCGAAAGUGUGGGUAUCAAACAGGAUUAGAUACCCCAGUAGUC